GGAAACUUUUCUCGGCGAGGCUCUGUGAGGAGAGUCUGUGGGGAAAACACUUCCUGGGGAAAUGUCGUAGGAAACGACCUUUGCUGGGGAUAUGAACUUGCUAAUCGUCCUCUAGCUGGGGAUUAGAACAAAUCUGUUAGAAAUAAUGCUGGGGAUGAGAUGAACACUGGGAACACCGCCCUCUUGUCCGUUGGGUAUGCAACCACUCC
RNAcentral lists this long non-coding RNA (209 nucleotides) under Lathyrus oleraceus (garden pea). RNAcentral's name for it is "Pisum sativum (pea) long non-coding RNA (PSAT_LNC027460)". The record is from RNAcentral. Lineage: Eukaryota; Viridiplantae; Streptophyta; Magnoliopsida; Fabales; Fabaceae.